CCUACGGGAGGCAGCAGUGGGGGAUAUUGCACAAUGGGGGAAACCCUGAUGCAGCGACGCCGCGUGUGGGAAGACGGUCCUCUGGAUUGUAAACCACUGUCCCCAGGGACGAAGAUGACGGUACCUGGGGAGGAAGCUCCGGCAAACGACGUGCCAGCAGCGGCGGUAAUACGUAGGGAGCGAGCGUUGUCCGGAAUUACUGGGUGUAAAGGGAGCGUAGGCGGGGAUGCAAGUUGGGUGUAAAAACUACCGGCUCAACUGGGAGUCGCACUCAAAACUGCAGCUCUUGAGUGAAGUAGAGGCAGGCGGAAUUCCUGGUGUAGCGGUGAAAUGCGUAGAUAUUAGGAGGAACACCGAUGGCGAAGGCGGCCUGCUGGGCUUUUACUGACGCUGAGGCUCGAAAGUGUGGGGAGCAAACAGGAUUAGAUACCCUUGUAGUC
This 440-nucleotide ribosomal RNA is filed under the name uncultured bacterium. RNAcentral describes it as "partial 16S ribosomal RNA". It matches the Rfam family "Bacterial small subunit ribosomal RNA", at positions 338 to 795 of the family's 1533-position model. The record is from RNAcentral.